Myzus persicae (green peach aphid) is the source of this 400-nucleotide long non-coding RNA. RefSeq lists it as uncharacterized. Lineage: Eukaryota; Metazoa; Arthropoda; Insecta; Hemiptera; Aphididae. The record is from RefSeq and is a predicted model, not a curated record. The transcript is spliced from 2 exons.
ACCACAGUACCAGCAAUGAAACAAAAGUGAAGUGCCACACCCAAUAUUAGCCAAGGGAAUUGAAAAAAUGGAUCCGUCCAUUGAUGAGCAAAAUUUUUCAUUUCCUCUAAAAAGAAUAUUUUGAAAACUCCAUGAUAUGCCACCGAUGCCAAACUACAUUCCAAUCUGAAUUUCAACAUACUCAAAAAAGCAUACAAUCAAGAAGAUUUGAAUCAAAACUACAGACUUAACGAAUCCGCUUAUCAAUCAAAUCACUUAAUAACUCUACUAAACAAUAUGAUGCUAGAACAUUGCAUUAUUCAAAACUAUCAAUUAUUUUUCUAUGUAUUUUACCACUUGUAUAAAUUGUAAAUAAAUAAAAUAAAACUUAGUUAGUAGAAAUACGAUUGUAAUAUUAAAU